GACGAACGCUGGCGGCGUGCUUAACACAUGCAAGUCGAACGAUGAAAGAGGAGCUUGCUCCUCUGGAUUAGUGGCGAACGGGUGAGUAACACGUGAGCAAUCUGCCUCUGACUCCGGAAUAACUACGGGAAACUGUAGCUAAUACCGGAUAUGCGCCGAACAGGCAUCUGUAUCGGUGGGAAAGAAUUUCGGUCAGGGAUGAGCUCGCGGCCUAUCAGCUUGUUGGUGAGGUAACGGCUCACCAAGGCGACGACGGGUAGCCGGCCUGAGAGGGAGACCGGCACCAUGGGGCCGAGGACAGGACCCGGAGUCAGACGGGAGCAAGCGGGGAGAGAAAUGGAGAAGUGGGCGGAGGCCUGAUGCAGAAACGCCGGGUGGGGGAGAACGGCCGUCGGGUUGUAAACCGCUUUUAGCAGGGAGGAAGGGAAAGUGACGGUACCUGAAGAGAAAGCCCCGGCUAACUACGUG
RNAcentral lists this ribosomal RNA (468 nucleotides) under uncultured bacterium. Its description in RNAcentral is "partial 16S ribosomal RNA". It matches the Rfam family "Bacterial small subunit ribosomal RNA", at positions 28 to 507 of the family's 1533-position model. The record is from RNAcentral.